GAUGCCUGGGAAAGGAGAUAAAGCUGGCUUUAUGACAUUCCUUCAGCAAGUGAAUAGAAUCCCUGAGGUCUCAACAGGUAUUGGGGGAAGAAAAUUUCCUCUAGACCAAGAUCAUUGUUUCCAAAAAUGUGGGUGCAACUUGCCUCCAUAAGCAACUGUAUCUUAGGAACAGAAAUUUUAAUUGACUGAAACCCACUGUGUGAAACUUAGAAUGGAAAUUGGGUUCUCCACCUCCGCAGCACCUUUAUUUUGGGCUAUGAAGCUUUGGAAGGACAGCAGGGAAUACAAACUGGCUAUGGGUUGUCUCCUGUAUUAUUCAUUUAUGUACCCAAAAAAAAAAGGCAGAAGAAGAAAAAAAGAAAAAGAAAAACCUUCCUGGUUCCAAGGGAGUCACACAAAAGACACAUAUCAACAAAAGGCCACAUGAGGACACAGUGAGAAAUUAGAAGUCUGCAACCCAGAAGACAGCCCUCAACAGAACCUAACCAUGCUUAUACCCUGAUCUCAGACAUCCAGCCUCCAGAAGAGUGAAAAGAUGCAAUUCUUAUUUGUAAGCAACUUGGUCUAUGGUAUUUGAUUAUAGCAGCCCAAGCUAAGACAGCUCCCUAUCCCAUUCACCAUGCUGCAGCUACAUGAGCCUCCCUUUUGUUCUUCAAGCUCAUCAAAUCCCUCCUAGCCUUAGAACUUGCUGUUUCCUCUGCCCAGAAUUCUGUUCCAGUUCUUUUCAUCCUGUAAGUCUUGUCCUUUAGAUCUAAAUUCACAUGUGACAUCCCCUGAGAACUGUCCUCUGAGAACUUAUCUCAAAGUCUUCCCAGUUACUCUCUACCUUACCUUCUAGUUUAUAAUCUUCACACCACUUUUCCACAUUUGUAACCAUUUGCUUUUCUAUAUGUGUGAUAUGGUUAGGCUUAGUGUACCUACCCAAAUCUCAUGUUAAAUUUUAAUCCCCAGGGA
This is a long non-coding RNA of Cebus imitator (Panamanian white-faced capuchin), 954 nucleotides long. RefSeq lists it as uncharacterized. The record is from RefSeq and is a predicted model, not a curated record. The transcript is spliced from 2 exons. Lineage: Eukaryota; Metazoa; Chordata; Mammalia; Primates; Cebidae.